This 5342-nucleotide long non-coding RNA is filed under the name Olea europaea subsp. europaea. Lineage: Eukaryota; Viridiplantae; Streptophyta; Magnoliopsida; Lamiales; Oleaceae. The record is from RNAcentral.
AUCAAGGCUCACAAAAUAAUUAUGAGUCAACUAUAUAAAUCUCUUGGAUCUAAAUUGCUUGUCAAAAUUUGCAGAGAAGAGAAGGAAUAGUUAUUUCAUCAGGAAAGUUUCCAACUGUCCUCAAAGGCUUCCAAUAAUCCAUCAUGCUACUGGUAUCAAUCUUCCCUAGCAAUAGAGUAUUGGAAGACUUGUGGACCGUUGAAGACACAUUUCUUUCAUCGAGGUAAAUCGGGUCGAGCUAUCUAUCUAGAUUACAAAAGGUACGUAAAAAGACGAAAUCGAAUGUAUAGCAACAAUAACUACUAUAGAUAAGAUUUUUACUUCAUUUUGUGUACCAUAAAGAUAAUUAUUUUCUUGAUGUAUCAAAAUCAAGAGGUUAUGCAAUUUUCUUCUAAUUUCCCCUGUUGAUUUAUGUUAAAAUUACUUCAAAUUAUAGGGUUUUGAUCGUUUUCAUCGAUCUAGACAAAAUUUAUAAUGUUUUCUAUCCUCUACUGGGUGCGGCAAAUUAAUUAAUUCUAAGUCAAGGGCUCAAACUAGGGUUUAUAAAUGAUUUUCAGGCUGAGCGUAGAUUGAAAAAAUCUGGUGUAAUUAAUAUGUGAUACGUGGAUUUUUCUUCUCUUCUCUCCUCUUCUCUCUCUCUGAAAAUUUUGAUACGUAAAUUGGACAUUUAAAGAUUAGGAUUUAAAGAAAUAGAGAUUUUUCGAAUUAUGUUCUCUUCCCUCAUAAAUCAGGUCGAAUCCGAUAAAAAGUUACAUAAAGAGAACUCUGAAAAAUAAAUAAAUUGUACUCUACCAAGUCAAUUUAUGAGAAUUUCUUUUAAACUUCGAAUUACUGCAAUUAGGGUUUCACGCGUAGUAGAAAUCUUGACUAUUUCUACAGCCAUGUUACAACUAAUUAAGCAUUGAACUGUUGGAGUUUUAUUAUUAGUAUUAUUUAUUAUUUUUUUUUGGGGAAAUCUGCUGUAAUUUCUUUGGUAUAUAGUAAGCAUCGUUUGUAUUUGUGAAUCAUUCAUUAAAAAAAAAAGAAAAGAAAAGAAAAGAAAGAAAGUAAUACAUCUGACAUUUGGUCUAAUGUCCAGUCCAAUCUAAUACUAAACUUAUAAAUAGGUAUGUAAAAUAUGUAUCUGAAAUGUAUAAAAUAUGAUUUUAUGUUUUGAAAGUUUUUAUAAAUUCUAAAAGGUAUAAUAAUUAAUUAAAGUAAAAAUCUCUAUCCUUCCAGACUUGUGUAUUCUGGUCGAUGAAAACCUUAGACAUUCAUCGAAUUCGGCAAAACUCAUAUUUCUUGUUUCUAAUUAGUAUUAACCACAGGUACAUGAUAGAUUAGUUUCAAACACAAAAGCAUCAAGUUAACAACUUUGUAGUAAAUUUAAAAAAAUUAUUCACCAAAUUUAUUAUUAGUCAAUAAUUAAUAAAGUUCUUACAUAUAAACUAUAUGUAUUCCACAAGAAAAAUAGACUAGCAUAUACUCCUCUUCUUUAAUUUCGUGUUGCAUGCUCUUUCGAGAAUAAUAUUACAUUUCUUUCAGGAGUUUAUACAAGUUUAUUUAUCUUCUGUUUGGUGGAAAUUUUUUGAGAAUAAAUUUGUUAAAAUUGAAUUUAUUUUUUAUUUUUUGGAGGAUUUUAUUUUUUGGAGGAUUUAUAACAUACACAGCCCUUGAGUGUCUUGUGCAGACAGAAAACCUAGCUCAAGCCACGUCACAAGUACGAGCUGGAUGCAUAGUAAUUGGUCUCCUGCUUCAAGCUUAGUCAUAGUACUUUUCUCUUGGAAGUUUGGAAUAAAACUAAAGUGAAAUUUCUUUGUUAUCUUCUCUCAGUUCCUAACUUCCUAUGGAGGUUAUGAGAAACUUAUAAAUUAUAAUAGUUUGAUUAUAUUAAUGACAAGUUCAGCAAGAUUUUGAUCCCAACUUCCAAGAGGUUAUGAGAAACUUAUAAAUUAUAAUAGUUUGAUUAUAUUAAUGACAAGUUCAACAAGGUUUUGAUCCCAACUUCCAAGAGGUUGGAAAGAGCAAGGUCUAAACAAGUGCUACAUAUACUUUCACAAAGAGAGAGACAACCCUUCUCUCUCCCUUUAUUGCAGAAAACUCGUCUCUGAAUUAGCUACGCCAUGUCUAGCAAAUAUAACAAUCCCCAGCCCCUCAAUCGGACAACAUUAGUAAUCUAAAUCUCCAUCAAGGUCCAACUCUUUUAGUUUGUGCCAGUGCCACCGCCUUAUGUGGGCACAAUUUCCUGUGGACUUUCUUAGCAAUCAGAAAGAGAGUGGGCUGGAGCAAACCCUCCCAUUUCUUCCAUUUUGUGCACUCUUAUUUGCAGAAAGUUGGCAUUCUCUGAACUCUCUCCCUCAGUGGCCCUUUCAUGACUUUAGGUUGAAGGAGGAGCCUUUAAGGUGUGAGGGUUCAGAAAUUGCCAGCCUUCUUACCAGUUUCAACAGUUCAUUAAUAAGCCGCGUGCAGAUAUAUAUACAAAAUUAGUAAGUAUUAAUUUGUUUUAGAAAAUUUUAAACUCUAACUUACAUGCUCUAUCUCAAUGACAGAAUCCGAAAAAUAGCCUUUUGUUUUUCUUUGAAAAGUUAUAAUUGAAAAUAUUGUUCUCUGGAUUUCUUCGUCUCUUUUUUCACUUCUAAAGAAUUGGAUUUUGUUAUGUUUUGUACAAAAUAAGAACCCUAGCUACCUUGCAUGACCUCACUACCAAUGCCAGAUGUAAUAUGCUUAAUUGAAAUUUUGUCCAAUUCCUUCCACACAAACAAUAAAACAGUACUACUACAACCCUCUUUAUGUGCUACUGUGCAAGUUGAACAAUGUUUUGGUUUAUGGAACUUCGAAGGAUAUUUAGUGUCAACGGGCUUCAUGUUUUUUCAUCCUUUUUCUCAUAUCGGUUGACAAGAAGAUGAUUUGAACCAUCAGAAUCCCUUUUCUAUUAGGAGAAGUUCUUUUUCAACGUGCAUUACUCUUUUUUGCCAAUAUAGCAUCUACUUGAAUAGGGGGCAUUUGAAAUUCUAUUUUCCUGAUAUGUAUGGUUAUUGUUUGCCCACAACUCACGACUAUGUGGCGUGCAAUGAUCGUGUUCGAGUUCUGGAUCAUUAAUUUGCAUAGCUCGGAAAAAACUAAUUCAAUCCGGGCAGCUCUAAUUUCCAUUGUUCAAUCGGAUAAGGAAUUGCUAGGCUUUUUACACCCAAAUUAGAUUAGAUUUUUUGGGGAAAAUACAUUUUCCUUUGUUACACGAACUUUCAUUGAAAAAAACAUUAUUUCCUUAAUUUCAUGCAUUUUUAUUGAAAAAAUAUUGUUUCUUUUAAUCUACUUUAUUUUUUUAUCUUGUUUUCAUAUUUGUGGUAUUUCUAUGGUUUGGCAUUCUUUCUAUAAAUACUAGACACUUUUCACAAAUUUUAUAAUGCUAAAAUACAGAAUAAUUGUGUAGACACAAUCAUUAUAUUUGUUUUCUCGAUAUUCAUCAAUUGAAUAAUUAAAAUACUCAAUUCUUCUACCAAUUAAUUCUUUGCAUUUUAUUUUGUUAUUUGUUUGUGAUUAUAUAUUUCAUAUCGUAUCAUAUAUAUUACCUCGAUUCAUUUAUUUUCCAACAAAUGGUAUCAGGGCUAUUGAUUGUGAUUUGUUCGAUGUUUUUUUAUUGAUAGCAAUCAUGAAGUAUGAAAUUUCGUUCUUGGAUCACAAUACAAGAUUCUUAUUGUGACAAGUGAAAAUGCAAGCUGUAUUCGCACAAAUGAAUUUGAAUGAUUUAUUGUUGAAAUUUGACAAAAUGCCCACAACUUGGAUGACAGAAGAGAAAUAAUAGAAGGAUCAAAAGACACUUUUAUAGAUCUAUCUUCAUCUUUCUAACAAUAUUAUUUAGGAAAUUUUGAAGGAAAAAACGAUAGUUGCUUUGUGGUUGAAGUUUGAGCAAUUGUGCAUGGCUAAAAGCCUAACAAGGAAAUUGCAUCUGAAGUCGAGGUUGUAUUCUCGUUGCAUGAUAGAAGGCGGAUCUUUGGAAAAUCAUCUAGCUGCGCUGAAGAAGAUCAUCGCUGAUUUGAAAACUUUAAAGAUAAAGUAUGAUGAAAAAGAUUUGGCCUUAAUCAUUUUGUGUUCGCUGCUUCCUUCGUUUACUUCAUUUAGAGACAGAUCUUGUAUAGCCGUGAUAUUGUCACCAGUGAAGAUACGUAUGAUUCAUUGUUUUCAAAAGAGAGAUGAAGCAUCUGCUUGGAUUCGAGGCUAGAGAUGGAGAAAGCCUUGUUGUUCAUGAUGAUCGAGGAGAAGGGAUAAGUCAAAAUCAAAUUUCAGUAAUCAUGUUUGUUAUUAUUGCAAGAAAAAAAUGACACAUUAAGAGAGAUUGCGACAAAUUGCAAAAUAAAGGUAAUUUAACUGCAAAUUAUAGAAAGCAAUCAAACACUUCAAACGAGACCAACAUAGUCGAGUACUAUUUGAGUGAUGGAGAUAUUUUGACAAUUUCUAACAUGUAAUCCAAACCUGACGAGGAGUGAAUUUUGGAUACAACUUGUGCAUUCCAUACGAGUCCCAAACAAACAUAUGAAACGGUGAUGCAAUGUAUCGUUGUCUUGGGUAACAACAAACCUUGUAAGGUAGCUGGUAGUGGUAGAGUCAAAUUGAAGCUGGUGGAUGGAGCAUGUAGAACACUUGCUCAUGUUCGACAUAUUCCAAACUUAAAGAAAAAUAUCAUUUCGUUGAAUACUUUUGAUUCAAAAGGGUACAUUCUCUGGAAGAGGUGGAGUCUUGAGAGUUUGAAAGGGUGUUCAUGUUAUAUUGGAGAGGCAGAAAAUGUCCCAAUUAUACAUCUUGCAAGGUAGGAUAGAAUUUGUGAAGAAAAGUCAGUGCAGAUUUAUUACCAUGGUGGAGAUUCAGUUUGAUACUGUACCUUUGGAAUUUGGUUCAGGAUUCAUAUUGAAGAGUACUACUCAAUUGAGUUUGAAGGGUAUGGGUAAUUCUGCUUUUCCACCAUUACCUAUGGUUCCAUCGUAUUCAACUGCUAAUGAUAGACUCAUUAGAGAUAGGUACGUGGAUGCUGAUUUGGUUGUACAUGCUUUUAGUAUUUUUGAAGGUGUUGAGACUAACCAGUGGUUUUCUGGAAUUGAUUCUGCUAUAUAGUGUGCUUCGAUACUGGUUGGUAAUUUCUAAUUCUUUUUUAAUUUUGAGAAACACGGUGUUUAGGUUCAUGUAUAAGUGUUGGAUACUGUGGAAGAGGAGGAAUAUUUUUGUGUUGGAGAAAAUUUGGUUUUUGUUGAAGAAUUCGAAUAUUUCGUUGCAGUCGAAUUUAUUUUUUCAGGUGGAGAAAUUUUGGAGUUUCGUUUGUUGUAUCAAAAUACGGAUCAAGGUGGAGAUUAUUGGUUUUUUUUUAAUACCCA